Non-coding RNA from Macaca mulatta (Rhesus monkey), 6540 nucleotides. The record is from RefSeq and is a predicted model, not a curated record. NCBI's taxonomy places the organism in Eukaryota, Metazoa, Chordata, Mammalia, Primates, Cercopithecidae.
CUAAUCAUCACAGAAAUGCAAAUCAAAACCACCAUGAGAUACCAUCUCCCACCAGUCAAAAUGGCUAUGAUUAAAAAGCGAUAGGAAGAGUUUUGUGGAGCAACUUAUAGUGGGAUCCAGUGGGGCCCAAAAAUAUUGGAGACCCAAAGACAUCUUGGGCCGGACAAAGGGACAGGUUUCACAUCUGUGUUUAAACCUUUUGAGAGACUGUGCUUCAAUGCCAUUGAAAAAGUUCACUCUGUUGUCGUUGUGAUAUUCUCAGGUCUCAGAGAAGGCCUUGGAUAGGAGAAAAUAGAGUGUAACUAAUCCAAUUAGUGAGGUGAAGCUGCUGAGAACCACGCUAAUUAGUUAAUGCGUAAACAUAACCAUUUUAUUUAAAUUAGCAGCAAAUUUCAAGCAAUCCUCAGAAUAACUGAGAAUAUUAGCCCUGAUUAGUGUAACAGCCUGGAAAAUUUCUUCUGGUGGGAAACAUACAAUAGUGGGGUCUCCCCACCAGGUCUUUAUUCAGUCAAUCACUCAUUCAUUUGUUCAUCCAAUAAACAUGUGUUGAGUAUUAUUUUAUGCCAAGCAUUAUAAGACAAAAAGGCAGCUUUGCCCAAGUCCCUGCCCUGGAGGAGUUCCUGUCUGGAGAGGGAGGUAGGAACUUAGAUGAUCACAGUUUAUACAAUGAAAUCUUGCAACCUACUGCUCCACACUCCCUUCCCACUAGCCCACAAAAAGAGAGAGCAGGAAUAAAACCAGGUCUGGGGAUCUCUCCCGUUCUUUCUGCCUAAAUUUAUUAGACAGUAAAAGAUAUGGGGGUUUCGGGGGAGUGCUCUUUCUAUGGAAAGGUAAAUUCUUGGUUAUAGGAGAAGAAAGAUGAAAGCGACUUUAAUUCCUUCUGAUGUUUUUGAAAUACUAAAGCUGCCACGUUUAUGCUUCAGGAAGUGCUUUGACUCAAGGUUUAAAGAUUAGAGUUGAGAUGAAAGAAGUACUCUAUUUUAAGCUGGAGAUGAAUUCCAUGAAGCCAUCACCUCUCCCCUGCGUGGUAUUGGCCCCAGUGUCUGCAGGGGCAUUAAAGACCUCUCAUGGAUUGUGCUUGCACCCCCAGACCUUUCACGUCACAUCUCAGAGACAAUUGCAAAAGUUUUCCUUUGUGAGCCAAGAAUUUAAAUGUCUAGCCACUACUCUGUGGCCUUUGGCAAAUUUCUCCAGUUUUCUAUGAUUUUUGUCUGUAAAUAAAUAAGAAUACCAGGCACUGGGUGGCUGUGCAGUUUGGAAAAAGCCCUGAGUUUAUUUCUUGGCUUUACCAUUAUGAAGUUGUGCCCUCCGUGACUCUGUGGCGUGUGGUUCCAUUGCUCAGGCGCCUGCUGGUGAAUGGUAUUGGGAGCCCUGACAGGGUAGUGUUCGGGGGAGCCUCACACACUCCUGCAGCUUUGCCUGGUCACCUCCAGCUUUGCAUUAUUUAGGGGCUAAUCCAGAUAGGGUUAAUUGGGUCUCUGUACUUAUUGUCCUCUGAGCUGUCACCUCGCCUGGUUCCAGGGACCACCGUUCACAUCAGUACAGGGUGAUGUGGGGACUGGCCCUGUGAGGCUCUCAGCUUCUGCUUGCCGCACGUUCCGUUUCUCGGUGCAGGGUGGUUGUUUGAGGGGGUGUUCUUUGCUCCAGAGGACCCAGGGCAUUGGUGGAUGUGCAAUGUGGUAGAAAGAGUGCAGACAAGAGAUCAGAUAAGGGUUGGGGUCCAGGCCCCGUUCUGCCCGUACCACAUGUGUGACAGGGGCAAGUGAUCUGAUCUUUCUAACCUCAGUUAGGUUCAUAAUCUGUAAAACUGGGAUGUAACUUGCACAUCACUGAAGUAUUGUGAGGGAUGUGAUGGCCUGUAUGCCAUGGUGCCUGGCCCAGUGCCCCGCAUGUGAUGGUGAUGGUAGGUGUUACUAUGCCUCACCCAAGAGCAAACACUCCACGGGUGAAGAAAGGGGACAUUGGAGGCUAAGAGUUGGGCUGAACACCUGCGGUUAUCCCCACUCCAGUGUCCCUGGGCUGGGGUGGCUCCCUUCAUUCCAGCAGCCCUUUGAGAAUCCAUGAAGACCCCAUGCCUAACGUAUCCUUGCCUGUGUUCCGGAGCUCAGGAACGUGCUCUUCCGACUGUCUGCUCAUGGGUAAGUGAUGACGGAGUGAGUUUCAAUAAUCCAGCCUGUAGUCUCACUCCUUCCUGAUGAUCCCACUGAAAGGACGUGAACGGACCUUGCUAGGUUAACCAGGCUGUGAAUCUCAGCUCUGCCACUGGUUGGCUUGUGACCUGGGACAGAAUAUGUAAUUUCUCUUUACCUCAAGUAUCUAUAACUUGAAGUUUAGUUCAUAGGAAAUACCAUAUAACUGUGGGUUAUAUUAUUUUUAUGUCUUAAUAUAUAAUAUUUAUAUAUGUGUUUAUGCAUUUACUUCUGUAUGUACACACACACACACACACACACACAUACACACACAUAAUUAGUAUGUGUCCGUCUCUGCUGGACACUUUCAGUAUGUCAGUUGAUGUAAUCUCAAAACCACCUGACAGCUUAUCCUCAUUUGGCUCAAACAUGUAAAGAUGUCCCUAGGUCCCACCACCAAUAGUUGAGUGUGUAAGCCAUAAGUCCUAGAACAUGAUUAUAGGUUUUACUGUGUCACAGCCAGAAGCAACUGCUCCCAUGGUGAAGGCUGGGAAGAGGAGGGCUAGCAUCCAGCAGCCCUGCUUUCUCCAGCAGCACUGCCUCCUUAGAUUCCACGGCCUCCACAGGGCAUGGCCCAAAGGACUUUCACAGCUGCCUACUGGAACCUGCCUGCAGUUAUCCCUGAUUCUCAGGCCACCCAGAGCUGGUGCCCAUUCUCUGGGUGAGGUGAGCACCCAGCCGGCUUCCCACCCUGUGUUUAGAAAGAACCUUAUUUCCAUUUCUCUUUUCGGAGUUGCAAAAGAGAGGCAGACCAGCCAUCUCCUGCCUGGACACAUCAGCUCAGUGUGGGGUGCAGGCAGACAGGGAGGGAGCCCACGGAUGUUAUAGGCACACAGAUGUUAGUGCCGCAGUGCUAACCUUCUCUGCACCAAGUGAUGGUGAACUCUGGGCUGCUCCUGCAGCUUCCAUGCUAAAAAAAGGAGCUGCUUGAUUUGUUAUUCAUUCCACACGAUAUGUUUUUCACUUCAUGUCCAAACUCCGCAAUUAGAGUUGUAAACCGUGAGUUUUGCAUGACUUUUAUUAAGCUCCUGCAGACUGGGAAGAAGCAGUCAUUAGCAGCUCCACAGUGGGCCCAUGUUCAGACUCACUAACGAGAGAUGGACUGAGUCUCUUGCCCUCCACCCACCAUUCUUUGGAGAGUCUUGCUUCCCAGGCCUCUCUGGCCUUGGGGACAGGUCACCAAGCCCAGUGACAGAGGAGCUGAUUUUAGAUCCCGCCUUGGCUCUGUGCUCUCUGACAAGUCACGUUACCUCUUUGAGCCUUCCUGAUCAGUAAAAUGGGGGCGGGUGCUGUUAAAUAAAGUAACAAACCUGCAUGUGCCUAGCACCAAAUCAGGCACAGAACUGGGCUCAGUGAUAUUGGUCUCUUGUUCAAACUGGAGAAAUCUCUCAACAAACAUUCAUGAUUAUUAAAGGUAGCUUGCAUUUGUUGCUUACUGUUUCUAGGUGCUUUGUGAAUGUAAGCUCGGUUAAUACUCUCAAAGGCCCUUUGAAGUAGGCACUGCUAUUAUCCAGUCUUUACAGGUGAGAAAACUGGGGCUUAAGGCAGGUAUGUAACUUGCUCAAGGUUACACAAUUACUGAGUGGUAGAACCUGGUUUGGAACCCAGGUUGCCUAACUUCAGACCCCAUGCUCAGAGCCAUGACUCAAUACUGUCUCCCUGGUUUAGUUAACACGUGGCUCCCGCUCUCAGGAAGUUCUCUAGACAGAGACAGGACAAUAAGCCAUCACAGGGUGGUGUGAUGCCAGCUGGGCACACAGGCAAUGUGCAGUGCACACUUGCUAAUGAGUGAAGGUUGCAGUGAGAAUAUGGGAUGGACUUCCUGGUUAGUCAACUACCCAGGCAUACUCUUCUCCUUAGGAUCUCAAGGAAAACUGAAUCUAAUUUGCAGUUUUCUCCCUGACAGUACUGACAGCAGGUUUCUAAGAUUUGGUUGGAGGAGAUUUGAAAACAUCACUCAAUCAGUGCUACCCUUCCCCAUCCACCCUGGGCUUGGUCACAGGCUGCAGGCUACAGGCUCAUAAGCUCCCUCCUGGCUUGUGAGGGCUGUCUACACACGCCUCCUGCCUUUAAGGUUCUCCACUUUCUCUGAGGAAUUGAGGUACCCAUCUCCCCACUGGGAGAUACCUAAUCUCAGCAUUCCAGGGCCUGAGCAUUAGAGCCAAAGCCCCCCACUUCCCUUCUUCCCUUUCUCAUCCCUCAAGCCUCAGCCCAAAGCCUACUUCUUUAGGGCAGUGUUUCCUGAUUAUCCCAUCUAAGGUGCCCUUACUUGUUAUUCUUAGAUCUCUGUACCUUGUCUGAUUUUUUUACAGCUCUUGGAUUUGGUGAUUAUUUGUGAAUUGUUACACCUGAUGGUCUUUCUCCACCACUAGAUGCAAGACAGCCCCUCCUCUUCCUCCUCCUCUGCCUGCUGAGCACGAAGAUGCCCUCCACCCACCAUUCUUUGGAGAGUGAAGAAAUUUAUGAUGGUUCAUUUCCGCUUAGGAAAUAGUAACUGUAUUUUCUCAUUUUGAAAUUUCUUAUUUCUAUUUUCUUUUCUUUAGCUUACUUUAUUGUAAGAAUUUUGUAUAUAAUACACAUAAAACACAAAAUAUGUGUUAACUGUUUAUGUUAUCAGUAAGGCUUCUGGUCAACAGUAGGCUGUUAGCAGUUGUUUCGGGGGAGUCAAAAGUUAUACGUGGAUUUCCAAUGGCAUGGGGAGUCAGCACCCCAACCCCUACAUUGUUCAGGAUCAGCAGAAAAUAGGAUGCUUGGCACCAAGGCUGGCACACAUGAAACCCUCAAUCAACCAGGUAAUCGCUGUUAUUCUAGUAUUAGUAUUAGUUAUUAUUAGUCAAGAUAAGAGCUGGCAGAAUCUGUAUCUGUUUAUCACAUUCAGUAUCUUUGUAUGGAGACCUGGGAUGGGAGCUUGAGAGAUGUGCCCUCCCCUACCGGGAUAGAAGCCAGCUCCUGGUUAUCUUUCUUGAUGAUGGACCAGUUGCUAUGGGCACAGGUUGGGAAAGAGCAGGGGACACCUCCUUCUGUUAGUGUCUCUCCUGCCACCAAGUCAUGCUAGCACAUGAUGCUGACCUGCCUUUCCAUUUGACUCAAGCCCCAGGCAGGAAACAUGUAAACUCCUCAGACUCCAAGGAUUGGCAGGGCUGCUUUCACUAACACUUCCCCUUUCAGCUUUCUAUAAUUCAUUCCCCCAUUCAAGAUGGUCUUGCAGAACCACGCCCAGGAGGGUCCAGGAUAUGAACAGCAAGCCAGUGACAGAGUAUAAGUUGCAAGAGUUCCAUCACCCUAAUGGCUUGGGUACCAUGCCCUCCCUGAAGGCACUUCCUCUUUCAUUUGAAGCAGGAAGUGGGGAGGCUUUCCUGUGAUGUCCCUUGCACCAAGUGUAGGCCUUCAAGAAGUUGGGUACUUGAGUUGCUGCUCUUUUGUCCCAUUUCUUAGUAGGGUGUCACCAACUUUUCGGGUGAGGCAGUUCUUUACUGCGUGGGACUGUCCUAUUCAAUGUAGGAUGCUUACCAUUCUUGGACCCUGACACCAGCAGUGUCCAUAUGAGACUAAAACAUCCCCAUACACCUCCAAAAGGCCCCUGGAGGAAGUGGUACCCACCCCUGGCUGAGAAUCUGAGAAAGGAGAGUAAAUAAAGAAGCUCUGGGAUUUGGGAAUGGCUGGCGGCAUUGAGUGUGGGUAUCUGAAUAAUGUUUAUAUCAGGGCAGCUUAAGGAUAUGCUUGUCUAUUUCAAGACAGUUCCUAAGGAGAUGUGUUCAGAAUAUAUCACAGGCAUAAAUGGAUUCUUAUAUUUGAUUUUCCCAAGUAACCCAAUUGUCACCACAUUGCCUUUGUCCCAGAUGCUUUUUCUGAAAUCGGUUUGUUGCUCUGCAUUAGCCCUGCCAGGGUAGAGCUUUGGUGGAGUCCUUGAGGUUAGCACUGUCUUAAUAUACUGGGAAUUUAAGCAGAGCUGGGUCCUCUAAAUCAAUCACCAGAACAGCUUUAGUUGUUUUUUUUUUCUUGCUCAAAAAUGCACUAUUAAAUGCAGACACACGUGUGGGAGUGGAGGUUGGCUUGAGUGAAGGACACAUUUUAAAAGAGAAAUUUUGUAACAUUUUUUUCCUGCAGGAAAAAGGACUUGCUGGUCUUGCUUCUUGUACAACUGGGCUACAGAAUAGAUUUGCAUCUCCUUCUAUCAGUGUCUCUUCUGCCACCAAGCAGCAUUUUUAGCAUCCUUGGAAUACGCUGGGUUGUUCAGAAGUCACCUAAUCAUAUUUUCCUGGGGCAUUCCAGGUGUUUAACAAAUAUGUGUUGAACAAAGGAAUAACUAGGUUAAUGGAAAAUUAAAGCUUUUUAAGUGGUGAUUACAAAA